Molecule: ribosomal RNA, 565 nt
Filed under: uncultured bacterium
Lineage: Bacteria
Description: partial 16S ribosomal RNA
Rfam family: Bacterial small subunit ribosomal RNA
Source: RNAcentral
UGAGGGAUAUUGGUCAAUGGGCGCAAGCCUGAACCAGCGACGCCGCGUGGGUGAAGAAGGUCUUCGGAUCGUAAAGCCCUUUUCCCACUGAAGAGGAAGGACGGUAGGUGGGGAAGAAGUCUCGGCUAACUACGUGCCAGCAGCCGCGGUAAAACGUAGGAGACAAGCGUUAUCCGGAGUUACUGGGCGUAAAGGGCGUGCAGGUGGCAUCUUAAGUCUGUUGUGAAAGCGCCUGGCUUAACCGGGCGAGGCCAAUGGAGACUGAGAGGCUGGAGGACGGCGGAGGGGUGUGGAAUUCCGGGUGUAGUGGUGAAAUGCGUAGAGAUCCGGAGGAACACCAGAGGCGAAGGCGGCACUCUAAGCCGUACCUGACACUGAGACGCGACAGCACGGGGAGCAAACGGGAUUAGAAACCCCGGUAGUCCGUGCCGUAAACGAUGCCAGCUAGACGUUCGGUCUCCGAGAGGGGACUGGGUGUCGCAGCUAACGCGAUAAGCUGGCCGCCUGGGGAGUACGGUCGCAAGGCUAAAACUUAAAUGAAUUGACGGGGUCAUAGCUGUUUCCU